UACGUAGGGUGCAAGCGUUGUCCGGAAUUAUUGGGCGUAAAGAGCUCGUAGGCGGUUUGUCGCGUCUGCUGUGAAAACCCGCGGCUUAACCGUGGGCUUGCAGCCGAUACGGGCAGGCUAGAGUUCGGUAGGGGAGACUGGAAUUCCUGGUGUAGCGGUGAAAUGCGCAGAUAUCAGGAGGAACACCGGUGGCGAAGGCGGGUCUCUGGGCCGAAACUGACGCUGAGGAGCGAAAGCGUGGGGAGCAAACAGG
This 253-nucleotide ribosomal RNA is filed under the name uncultured bacterium. Its description in RNAcentral is "partial 16S ribosomal RNA". It matches the Rfam family "Bacterial small subunit ribosomal RNA", at positions 524 to 776 of the family's 1533-position model. The record is from RNAcentral.